RNAcentral lists this ribosomal RNA (438 nucleotides) under uncultured bacterium. Its description in RNAcentral is "bacterial SSU rRNA". It matches the Rfam family "Bacterial small subunit ribosomal RNA", at positions 339 to 794 of the family's 1533-position model. The record is from RNAcentral.
GUACGGGAGGCAGCAGUGGGGAAUUUUGCGCAAUGGGCGAAAGCCUGACGCAGCAACGCCGCGUGCGGGAUGAAGGCCUUAGGGUUGUAAACCGCUUUCAGCAGGGACGAAAUUGACGGUACCUGCAGAAGAAGCCCCGGCUAAAUACGUGCCAGCAGCCGCGGUAAUACGUAUGGGGCAAGCGUUAUCCGGAUUCAUUGGGCGUAAAGAGCGCGUAGGCGGCUUGUUAAGUCAGAUGUGAAACCUGUGGGCUCAACCCGCAGCCUGCAUCUGAAACUGGCAGGCUUGAGUCUGGUAGAGGAAAGUGGAAUUCCCAGUGUAGCGGUGAAAUGCGCAGAUAUUGGGAGGAACACCAGUGGCGAAGGCGGCUUUCUGGGCCACGACUGACGCUGAGGCGCGAAAGCUAGGGGAGCAAACAGGAUUAGAUACCCCGGUAGU